UUUUGACCUCAGUUCAGACAAGGCUACCCGCCGAAUUUAAGCAUAUUACUAAGCGGAGGAAAAGAAACUAACAAGGAUUCCCCUAGUAACGGCGAGCGAACCGGGAAGAGCCCAACUUGAAAAUCUAAAGGUUGUACCUUUCGAAUUGUAGUCUAGAGACGCGUUCUCUGCGGCGGAUCGGCUCCAAGUUCCCUGGAAAGGGACGUCAGAGAGGGUGAGAACCCCGUCGAAGCCGGUUUCAGUCGCUCCACGAGGCGCAGUCGAGGAGUCGGGUUGUUUGGGAAUGCAGCCCUAAGCAGGUGGUAAAUUCCAUCUAAGGCUAAAUAUUGGCGAGAGACCGAUAGCGAACAAGUACCGCGAGGGAAAGAUGAAAAGACCUUUGAAAAGAGAGUUAAAAAAUACCUGAAAUUGUUGAGGGGGAAGCGAUUCAAACCUGUGGGUGCUCCCGGGGCAGUAGCAAUACACGCGCUCGGGGCUGGUCAACGUGGGUUAGCUUGGAAGGAUAUCACUUCCGAGUUGACCGAGGACUCGACGUUGGCGGAAAGGUUUGCAUUGACCCGUCUAGAAACACGGACCAAGGAGUCUAA
This 587-nucleotide ribosomal RNA is filed under the name uncultured Ostreococcus. RNAcentral describes it as "eukaryotic LSU rRNA". It matches the Rfam family "Eukaryotic large subunit ribosomal RNA", at positions 1 to 678 of the family's 3401-position model. The record is from RNAcentral. Lineage: Eukaryota; Viridiplantae; Chlorophyta; Mamiellophyceae; Mamiellales.